UACGUAGGGUGCGAGCGUUUGUCCGGAAUUAUUGGGCGUAAAGAGCUCGUAGGCGGUGUGUCGCGUCGGCCGUGAAAACCUGGGGCUUAACUCUGGGCGUGCGGUCGAUACGGGCAUCACUAGAGUUCGGCAGGGGAGACUGGAAUUCCUGGUGUAGCGGUGAAAUGCGCAGAUAUCAGGAGGAACACCGAUGGCGAAGGCAGCUCGCUGGGACGGUACUGACGCUGAGACGCGAAAGCGUGGGGAGCAAACAGG
Molecule: ribosomal RNA, 255 nt
Filed under: uncultured bacterium
Lineage: Bacteria
Description: partial 16S ribosomal RNA
Rfam family: Bacterial small subunit ribosomal RNA
Source: RNAcentral